UCAGCAUCAGUCAACAGGACGCCAGCAGUAACUUCCUAUCCCGUGGCGGCUGAUUCUCCAAGUGACAGCUCUGUGCCUCUCCUGCACCUGCUGACAAGCCAACUGAUGUCCUUGGCCCAUAGGUAAUCCACACUCCAGGAGUGAUGCCCCAAAGCGCCCACCUUCCCACUCACCUGGAAGAAAUUCUGAGGCACAACCACCCCUAAUCACAGAAAAGGAGAAAGAACAGAAAGAUACUCCUGAAGCCAAGGUAACCCCCGCCUCCAAGAUUCUGCAAACAGCAGUGGGAAACUCCCAAACUCAUCCAUGACCCAGGAACCCUCCCUGUCUUGGAUGUCUCCUCUACAAACAACAGAACCUCUGCCUUAGAGAAUGAUCUCCUUUUCUUCCUCAAAUACCCUCUCCUCUCUUAUCUGGGUCAGCUUCCCUGGCCUUGCUCUCUAAAAAGCCUAAAAUCCAGGGCGCCUGGGUGGCUCAGUCAGUUAAGCGUCUGACUUCAGCUCAGGUCAUGAUCUAGUGGUUUGUGGAUUCGAGCCCUGCAUGGGGGACUGCACUGACAGCUCAGAGCCUGGAGCCUGCUUCAGAUUCUGGGUCUCCCUCUCUCUUUGCCCCUCCCCCACUCACGCUCUGUGUCUCUCUCUCUCUCAAAAAUAAUUAAAAAAUUAAAAUAAAGAUAAAAAGCCUAAAAUCCUUCCAAAAUGGCUUUAAAAAUCUCUCUCCUUGGUGUGCCUGCGUGGCUCAGUAGGUUAAACAUCUGACUCUUGAUUUCAGCUCAGGUCAUGAUCUCACAGUUUGUGUGUUCAAGCCCCAUGUGGGGCUCUGCGCUGACAGUGCAGGGCCUGCUUGGGAUUCUCUGUCUCCCUCUCUCUCUGCCACUCCUCCCUCCCCUGCUUGCCUGUGUUCUCUCUCUCUCAAAAUAAACAUUUUAAAAAAAUAAAUAAAUAGUGGCUCAGUCAGUUAAGGGUCUGAUUCUUGGUUUUGACUCAGGUCAUGGUCUCAUGGUUCAUGAGUUCCAGCCUCACACUGGGGUGGGUGCUGACAGCUCGGGGCCUGCUUGGGAUUGUCUCUCUGUCUCUCUCUCUCUGCCCCUCCCUCACUCAUGUGAGCACGCUCUCUCUCGCUCUCUCUCUCUCCCCUAAUAAAUAAGCUUAAAAAAAAAAGAAAGAAACCUUUAAAUAAAUAAAUUAAUUAAUUAAAAAAAAAUCUCUCUCCUCAAGUAUAGACCCUAGCCUCUCUCUGUCUUACCCAGCUACUCUCUGCUCCUUUCCUAUCUCCUCCCUUAAGACUAUAAGUAGAGAAGGCCUGACCUUCCUUCCUUCCAUGCCUUCCUCUAGACUCUGUUCCAUCUACAAGAUUAGGCACAGAGACUCUUUAUGGGGGUGGGGUAGCUGGUCAGAAGAUGGCAGGGGACCUCCCAAGCACAUGGGGGCUUUCUGCCUUCCUUGGCCUCUGCCAGAGGUGACCCAAAAUCCCUACCCUUCAUCGAACAGAGGCCUGAAGAAGUAUCUCAGCUCCAAAGCUCCUGCCAAGCCACACCCCUGCCCCAUGAGGACAAGCACAGAUAAAGCUUUCAGCAGGUCCUCAAGUCUCUCCUCCUGAGAAGAGACAAGACCAGCCAGGAUAUUAGAUGUUUCUCUUUAUCAGGUGUCAGGUGUCAGGCAUCAGGACAGAACACCCUCACCAUGAACCUGCCUCAGCAUUCAUAGCAGAAGGACACAAGGACCUUUUUCUGGCCCGCUUAGCAAUGUGUAUUUAUGAGGCAGAAAACUCAACUCUGAGGACAGAUGGAAUAAGAGAAACAGGUCCCUGAGACCAGGGGAGUGAUUCUCCUAAGGCUGGUGGGGUGGAGGGUGGAGAUGUCUCAGAAGACGAUCCUAAUAGAAUUACAUAGUGUUGAAGCUGGAAAGGGCCUUAGGGACUCAAAUAUAUGUCCCUCAUUUUACAGAUGUGCAAGAUCUCAGAUCUCCCAGAAGGCUGUCUGAGGGCAGGGAUAGUGCUUCAUUUUCACUGUUCACUGUUUCAAUGUUCAUUGUUCAUUUCUAGGCCCAAGCAACUUUUAGGUGCUAAAUCGAUGGUGGGAAAAAGAUCCAUCGCAUGUACACACUGUUUUCAACUUCUCAGGAUACUUUUAUACCCUAAUAUUGCCCCAUAAUAUAGUCUAGAAGUUGAAAACCCAUGUCCUGAAGGCUGUGUUUGGUCUGUACAAAGUUUUAAAACAUUUGUAAUUCACUCCCAAUGUGCAUUGGAAGCUUUCAUUCCCUCAAAAAAUAUCUAUUGAGUGUUUAUGGGCUGAGGCCAUAACAGAGAAUAAACCAGACAAAAAUCCUUGCCCUUGUGGAGCUGAGGUUUUGGUAAAUGGGAGGGGUAGGAUGUCACAUAAAAACCCAGGCUCUCCACUCCUCUCAAAGAAAUGAUAAGAUCCGGCCACACUGGACCCACAGUGCUCCACAGCAGGGAUGCUGGAUUUCAGCAGCCACCCUUGUACUUGGCCAUGUGCUCUCCCACUUACUGCAGACUCCCCUGACUCACCUCACUCAUUUAGCUAUUUACCUGGCCCCAGGGGAUACUGGGGUUUGUGGCCCCAGAUACUGAUGUGUGUUCACCCCAAUUAAAUGUGACAAGGCUGAUAGAGAAUAACCACCUGCCUGAAGCCACACCAUGACUGGCAGGGCUGGGUGAGAACCUCAUCUCCUGUCUCUUGGUUCCUUUUCUUGUAAGACCAUGUUCUCAAGCACUCAGCACGGUGCCAGCACAUGGGAACAUUCAAUAAAUAGCAGUUCUCUUCCCUACCAGUCUUUCUUCCAGUAGAAGGAAAUCAGCCUGGACUUUAAGAACUGCCCCUUUAAGGGACUCAGAGGAAAGAAGAAUGGAAAAGAUAUGGC
Molecule: long non-coding RNA, 2882 nt
Organism: Acinonyx jubatus (cheetah)
Lineage: Eukaryota; Metazoa; Chordata; Mammalia; Carnivora; Felidae
Exons: 3
Source: RefSeq, a predicted model, not a curated record